AACGAACGCUGGCGGCAGGCCUAACACAUGCAAGUCGAACGCAUCGCAAGAUGAGUGGCGCACGGGUGAGUAACACGUGGGAAUGUACCCUUUGGUUCGGAAUAACGUUUGGAAACGAACGCUAAUACCGGAUGAGCCCUCCGGGGGGAAAGAUUUAUCGCCGAAGGAUCGGCCCGCGUUGGAUUAGGUAGUUGGUGUGGUAAAGGCGCACCAAGCCUACGAUCCAUAGCUGGUCUGAGAGGAUGAUCAGCCAUACUGGGACUGAGACACGGCCCAGACUCCUACGGGAGGCAGCAGUGGGGAAUCUUGCGCAAUGGGCGAAAGCCUGACGCAGCCAUGCCGCGUGAAUGAUGAAGGUCUUAGGAUUGUAAAAUUCUUUUACCAGGGACGAUAAUGACGGUACCUGGAGAAAAAGCCCCGGCUAACUUCGUGCCAGCAGCCGCCGUAA
This 448-nucleotide ribosomal RNA is filed under the name uncultured bacterium. RNAcentral's name for it is "partial 16S ribosomal RNA". It matches the Rfam family "Bacterial small subunit ribosomal RNA", at positions 29 to 523 of the family's 1533-position model. The record is from RNAcentral.